RNAcentral lists this ribosomal RNA (492 nucleotides) under uncultured bacterium. RNAcentral describes it as "partial 16S ribosomal RNA". It matches the Rfam family "Bacterial small subunit ribosomal RNA", at positions 29 to 507 of the family's 1533-position model. The record is from RNAcentral.
AGUGAGCGCUGGCGGUAGGCCUAACACAUGCAAGUCGAACGGCAGCACAGUAAGAGCUUGCUCUUACGGGUGGCGAGUGGCGGACGGGUGAGGAAUACAUCGGAAUCUACUUUUUCGUGGGGGAUAACGUAGGGAAACUUACGCUAGUACCGCAUACGACCUACGGGUGAAAGCAGGGGAUCUUCGGACCUUGCGCGAUUGAAUGAGCCGAUGUCGGAUUAGCUAGUUGGCGGGGUAAAGGCCCACCAAGGCGACGAUCCGUAGCUGGUCUGAGAGGAUGAUCAGCCACACUGGAACUGAGACACGGUCCAGACUCCUACGGGAGGCAGCAGUGGGGAAUAUUGGACAAAGGGCGCAAGCCUGAUCCAGCCAUACCGCGUGGGUGAAGAAGGCCUUCGGGUUGUAAAGCCCUUUUGUUGGGAAAGAAAAGCAGCAGGUUAAUACCCCGCUGUUCUGACGGUACCCAAAGAAUAAGCACCGGCUAACUUCGUG